GCUGACUUCCAAAUCACUGAACGACUUCUGUGUAUUUCCAGAGAGUCAUGCCAAGUGGUUGGUUCCUAUUGCUGCGUUUUUGGGUGAGUGGCUCUGUAGCAAAUUCUACAUAAGCAAUUACCACCAUGGUUCCUGAGCAAUCUGUUCUUUGCACCCGAAUUAUUGUUUGUUUAUCUCUUUUACUGAUGGUUGGAUGCGUUACACAGCUUAGAGUUGAUGGAGUGCUUAUGAGGCUAAGAGACACUCGUUACACAGCUUAGAGUUGAUGGAGUGCUUAUGAGGCUAAGAGACACUGGUCCAGGAUACUCUGGUGCAGGAAUUAGUUACACAAGGCGGAAUAGUUGAGAGGCUUCAGGGAGGAUUUUCAUUAAGAAUUGAUUAGGACUUCGGAAUACGAUUGCUUUUGUAGUGACUAGUGAGAUGAAGAAACCAGACUUAAUUGUACUUCAAGAAACGGGACUAACAAUUAUAAGUCUAUAACAAAUCCCCUAUUGUUCAAGUGCACACAGGGAAAAAUGAAAAAGAUAGAGAAAUCUUAAGGAAAAGUAAGUUGGGCCCCAUUUUACCAAAAUUUCAAAAUAUACAAUUGAAGGUAAAAGUCCUUGAAACUAAUGUCAGCACUUUUUACACGGCAUAUUACACAUUAUCUGUAUAUGGGCUUUAAUUGUUCCAUGUAAAAGCAACUGCAAGGGAUGAUGUGAUUAUCUUAGUCCUCUUUGAUGUAUAUUCAGCCUCAGUUGUAUUGUUGGUAAGAAUUUUGAGAGUUCAGUUUAGUUGGUCCAACUAAGUGUCAGAGAUCUCUCUUCUUGUAUACCUGUUUUCACAGAAAUCACUACUUUAGACGUGCACGUUGUAUCUAGUUAUCACUUCAUUUUUAUGUUAACAUAACUCAGGUGUUAGAUCAAAUUUUGUUUGACUUUUGUUUGUUUUGUACAAUUCUGUCACUAAUCUUCUUAAUUUCUGCAGAAAGGAUAUCCUUCUGAUUGUGCUGCGUAUAGUGAUCCAAGCACUAUUAGUGAAAGGCUUCCCAUCAUAAUGCAGAAGACUCAAAAGCUCAGUAUCGAAAUACCAUGUAAGCAAUAUGAUCCAAGCACUAUUAGUGAAAGGCUUCACAUCAUAAUGCAGAAGACUCAAAAGCUCAGUAUCGAAAUACCAUGUAAGCAAUAGGUGUGAUCAACAUUGUUGUAUCAGAUUCUUCAUUCUAUGUUCCUCCUAUUUGUGGAAUUUGGUGAAUGAUAAUCAACAUUUGACCUUAUGCAUAUUGCCACUAUUUGAGUGCCUGCAUCGUGCCAUUCUUCUUCUUCCGACUCUUGAUUUUCUUCCCCACGCAAGUGUUGUCUUGAUCUGAAGAGAAAUCACACUGCAUCAAGAUGUGCAAAGAGCACAAAGACAUUGUUGGUGCCUUGAAUGAAUGGAAGAGCGGAAUGGCACAGUAGUGACUAACUGAAUAUUACAUUGGAGACUUUUAAAAAGAAUCAAAAGGCUCUGUGAGCGAUUAAAAUACUAGGUAAUUUCUUCAACGUUAAAAAGAAUAUUACUGAAGAUGCUCAAACCACCAGGGUGAGUUGUUUCACCUUAAGUUUUACUUUCUUAUUGCUUUUCACUUUCAACCUGGAUAUAGAGUGGAGUUCUUUUUGUAUCAAAAUUUCUACCAUGGAGUAGGGGUAAGGUCUGCGUACACAUUACCCUCCCCAGACCAUACUAUGUGGGAUUUUAUUGGGUAGUUAUUGUUGUUGAUGCCUCGUUAUAACUAUCGUUUCUUUGAUUCUUCAUUUUCAACAUUUUGUUUUUCUAGCAGGGACAAGGCACUUAAACACGUGGUAUCGUUCAAGGAUGGUGUCGGGCAAGGAGCAGUUACAAGGCACUUAAUAUUUUGUUGUUUUUGGGAUAUGCAUAUGCGUACAACUACAAUGCACAAUGAAGUGUCAGGUAGUAUAUAUGUAAUUAACUUUUUAGUAUGAUAAUAUUUAUAAUAUUCGGCUUCAGAAAUUA
This 1992-nucleotide long non-coding RNA is filed under the name Nicotiana benthamiana. Its description in RNAcentral is "long non-coding RNA (NBEN_LNC038855)". Lineage: Eukaryota; Viridiplantae; Streptophyta; Magnoliopsida; Solanales; Solanaceae. The record is from RNAcentral.